RNAcentral lists this long non-coding RNA (866 nucleotides) under Homo sapiens (human). RNAcentral's name for it is "HSALNT0318190". The record is from RNAcentral. Lineage: Eukaryota; Metazoa; Chordata; Mammalia; Primates; Hominidae.
CGGGGAGGGAUUUGAGGAGGGGAUCGGAAUGUGGCUCCAGUUCGGGAGGCGUUACCUGCGGAGGGUUUGAGGAAGGCCCAGGAGCGAGCCCAUGGUCUUCCGACGCGGGGCCAGGGGCGGGCCCCAGGAUCCGGAGCUUCGGGGGGGCCGAGUCCGGGUUUGGGGCCCGGGAGGCGGGGCCAGUUAGGUCGAGGGUCCCUGGGAUCGUCGGGUCAGGCCUUGGGCUAACGUAGGCACUCUCGCAGUUCCUCCGCCUUCAGGAAGGUCUUUUUAGCAGGGGCCUUACGGGUGCAUGCUUCGGUCCUGGAGGACUUAGGCUAGCCUCCUCUCCAUCAGCGCCACCCGUCUGGGGCCCGAAAGGAGGGAGCUUUCCCUCUGUCCCCCAGCCUUUGGACUGUCACCAAACAAGCCAUUCGUUCACCAAAUACUUUUUAAGCGCCUACCAUGUGCCUGACAAGGGAUAUGUAACGGUGAGAAAAACUAGGUGUGGUCCAGGCCCUUCAGGGACUCAGGGGCUCGUGGAAGAAGUGGAUAUUGAAGUACUUAUCACACAAAGGAGGAUAAAAGUACGAUAGCGAUAUCUACCACGAAGCUGUUGUUCCACACCAGAACCAAAUGAGCGCAAGAUCUGACAAAAAAAAAAGAUAGGGUCUCUCUCUCUGCCACUCAGGCCAGAGUGCAGUUGACGCAGAGCAGGGGAGCCCUGAAAUGGAGCAUAGUGUGUCCGGAACUGGUGGGUUCUUGGUCUCACUGACUUCAAGAAUGAAGCUGCGGACCCUCGGGAUGAGUGUCACAGUUCUUAAAGGUGGCUUGUCUGGAGUUUGUUCCUUCUGAUGCUCUGAUGUGUUCAGAGUUUCUUCUUUCUG